Long non-coding RNA from Felis catus (domestic cat), 3175 nucleotides. RefSeq lists it as uncharacterized. The record is from RefSeq and is a predicted model, not a curated record. The transcript has 4 exons. NCBI's taxonomy places the organism in Eukaryota, Metazoa, Chordata, Mammalia, Carnivora, Felidae.
AUUUAGAACACAUGUGACCCAGACCACCCAGACACUUGAAGAACCUUAUUGGGAUUUCAAGUUCAUUUUUUCCUAAUGUGCACUGGAAUUGGAACCACUUGGGAAUACAUUUCAGAAAAUGGACUUGAAAUACAUACGCAAACAAAACCUUUUCCCCUAGGGAGAAGAGAAAAAGGAGCUGAAGUGUCUAACAGCUACCAGGAAGUGCCCGUCAACCAGCGUGAAUAAGAAAAAGGAGAACAAGGGAAAUAGAUUGCCCUCGGGAAGAGGGGUAUUAUCAUGAACACUACUUUAUCACUUUUGAACUGUGGACAUCCAUGAACUUAGCAGUAUUUCCAAAACAUUUUUAAAAACCCAUAAAAUAAAUAAAUUUCAGGUAAACUGUACCAAACUUGGCAAACAGAAACCUCCUUGCCAGAGGGUUUAAAUUGGACAAUUUCUAGAAAACCAUGCUCCCUCUAAGCUAGACAGAAAGUAAAGGACUCACAUAUGUUGAGAACCUUUAUCACACAAGGAAUGCCCAGAUGUUUAUAUGAUACUUAAUUUUUUCUUUGUUAAAUUAUUUUCACAAAAAAUUUCAAAUGUACCCCCCCAAAAAAAACUCCCAGCUGCCAGUCAUCCAGCUUCAAUAAUCAAUGACAUUCUGCCAUACUGUUUAACAACAGUAACUUUUUUCUUAAGCUAGAAUAGAUUAAAACAAGUCCCUGUGUUCAAGCUAUUUUGCCACUAAAUACUGCAAUAGGCAUGUAAAAAGAAAAGAAUAUUCUGGCACGUAACCAUAACGCUGUUAGCACACCCAACAAAUUAAUCAUCUGAUACCCAACUUCAUAAAAUUUCCUCAAAUAUCUAAAGCAAUCUUUUUUGCCAUAAGUUUAGUUAAAACAGUGUAUAAGGUAUUAUGCGUCUUAGGUCUCUCUUGUAUUUCUUUCACACUACAACAUUCUCCUCCCUUUGCCCUGUUCAUCCCAUGCCAUUGGGUAGUUGAAGACACUGGAUCCAUAGUCUUGAAGAAAUUGCCACACUCUGAAUUUGGCUGCAAAGCCAUUCCUUAAGCUUCGAACACUCUGGCCAGCUGAGAUAUCCCAGAGGAGUGUACCUCGGUCUUGUGGGCACUGUCUUUCCAUUUGUUUAGAGAAACUGGCAAGUGUAUAACCUGAGUGUCCACACGACCCUGUUCCCCUAGAUCCAGGUGGAGGGAUGAAACUGAUCACUUAGAACCCAGAGACACAGCUUUUCCUGGAGAGGUCUCUCUCUAAUAGAUUUCACAGGCAAGCCGGAGGACAAGAGGAGUGUCCCCACAAUUCAGUUAUGGGAAAGAGCAGCCUGGGCCUGUGUAGGGGCUCUGCUAGGAAAGAACAAAUUUGAUUGUUGAAGGGUGGUGGGGGGGGGGGGACUAUUUAUUUCCAGAAGAGGAAGCUCCUAUCACAGACAUAAUAUACAGGACUUGCUGAGGCUUAGAAGUAGGGGCUUAACAUCUCUUGUUGGAAAGACACGUAGCAAGGGGCAGCCUGGGGUGUGCUCAGAUGCAUUUGUUUCUGUCCACCCGGCCCCAUUCCUUUCUUUGUAUUUGCAGACACAGAGCCCAGGAUCUGCAGAUUAGAAACACUAAGCAGGAUGACGUUUGUACAGCAUCUUGUUCCAGGCGGCUUGGAGCAUUUGGCAGGGGGCAUCUUGCUCAAGACACUAGAACUCCCAGGUGGGAGGGAUUUAUGGACUGGCAAGGGGGCUGUUCUAUGCAUCUCGCCCAGUAGCUCAGUAGCCCCUAUGGCCCGUUUUGGCCACCCCUUGCACACCUGUUCUCAAGGUGACUCCUUUAGUUUCAACCUGGGCUACUUGUGAGGGUCCAGUUCCCUCACCACAAUCUAAGCGAGACGGAACCAGAGCCCCUUGGAGUAAUGAGAAAUGAAACUCCAAGAUACACCGUUUGAUGAACUGUCUGGAAGAACAGCUCAAACGCAAAUAUGCCUGUGCCUCAGGUGCAGUGAGCAAACACUGGCUCACUGUCAGCUUCAUGCCAAGCUUCGAGCUUAGCACGGGGGUGUAAAGAGCAUAUUCCAGACCUGGCCUCUGGCAGCUGUUAGUCUGGGCACAGCUGUGUUCUAUCUAUCUCUGAUCUGUUUCUAAAAAGUACUUCCCCUAAUGGAUUACAAUGUAAAUUUUUAGUCUGUAAAUUAUGCUCUUGUUCAUAGUGCCUUGUGCUAUAAAUAGAUGAUAAAUAAUUUGGGAUAGUUAUGUGGUAUCUUUUGCCUAGGACUUUAAAGCAUUUCACAAACACUGCCCAUGAAUAGUAAAUGAAUUAGUAUAUUAAUCCCUUGUUUACAAAAGGAUGAUAGCCACAUGGGGAUUAGAGUCAACUGAUGGAUGUCAGAGUAAAAACCUGACUUCACUACUGAUUUGCAUUAUGACCUCAGGCAAGCCACUCCCCAUCCCUGAACCCUGGUUUCCUCCCUGUAUACAGCAUUGUCAGCUAAAAGUCCUUUGACCCUCUCCUCCUCUCCCCCAGUGUUUGGAAAUGCUGUCACGGGAACCGCAGCAGAAGAAUUAUUGAUAUGUAGGGACAGGAGCAGGAUGCUCUUUCUCCUUCACUGCAAUGAUUCACAGAAAAAGACUUUCCUGCCCCAAACACCUAUAGACCCAAAUGGCCCUGGGUAGUCAUUUACACUCUACAUUUACCUCUAACCUCCUUCCCAGUGUGACAGUCAACGUACAUCCAUCUCUGAAAGUUUAGCCACAAAGGGAUUAAGUUCUACGUUCAGGACAGAACAUCCUCCUUCAGAACCUGAAGCUAUGACUCCCCCUUCCCUAACAGAGGAGCCCGUGCGUCCUAGCUAGAACCAGCCGUUUGGCGCCAUCUGCUGGACACAAGCAGUCACAGGUUGGGGGAAAUUCGGUCAUGCUUAAGGAAUCAGGUGCCCACUGAUGCUCAUCCCUUGGACGGUUCUGAAGAAGUGUUCCCACUGGAUUGAUGCUCUAUAUUCCUUUAUGACAAAUCUCCCCAACCUUUAAUAAAUAUCUCAAAAGCUAAGGGUCUUUCCUACUACGUCCUAUUCCCUCUGCAGUUUCAUAAAGCGCCGGUGUUUUAUUUAGUCAACCAAGUCACGAAAACGAAGGAGCCCCACGACAAAACCAUCAACAAAUAGAGGGCAGAAGCCACAUUUCCUCUGUCACUGUAUCC